Molecule: small nucleolar RNA, 93 nt
Organism: Suricata suricatta (meerkat)
Lineage: Eukaryota; Metazoa; Chordata; Mammalia; Carnivora; Herpestidae
Gene: SNORD116
Rfam family: Small nucleolar RNA SNORD116
About the family: HBII-85 is a member of the C/D class of snoRNAs, which contain the C (UGAUGA) and D (CUGA) box motifs. HBII-85 is encoded in a tandemly repeated array with another C/D snoRNA, HBII-52, in the Prader-Willi syndrome (PWS) region of chromosome 15.
Source: Ensembl
GGAUCGAUGAUGACUUCCUCAACAGCAUUCCUUGGAAAGCUGAACAAAAUGAGUGAGAACCCUAUACCGUCGUUCUCAUCGAAACUGAGGUCC